Long non-coding RNA from Capsicum annuum, 1256 nucleotides. RefSeq lists it as uncharacterized. Lineage: Eukaryota; Viridiplantae; Streptophyta; Magnoliopsida; Solanales; Solanaceae. The transcript is spliced from 2 exons. The record is from RefSeq and is a predicted model, not a curated record.
CCAACUAGAAUGAAAAGAUAAAGACAAAAAUCAACCAAGAAGAUAAGGAUGAAAAGAAGCUAGCUGGAAAAUAGAUAACAGGAGAUAGAAAGCAACAUAAAAAAAGACAGACUAAUGGAAAAAUAAAGGCAAGAGACAAGGAGACAAGAUAUUAAAGCUGUGAAAGUGACAUGUGAAUUAUUAGAUAGUUUUUAGACGUAAAUUAUUGUAUAGCAUUAUGAGCUUUUGACUUUUUUGGCAAGUGCCAUUAUUAGUUUUUCACUUUUUUGACAAGUGUAGAAUAGGAAUAGUGUUCGGAUUUUUAUUUUGUAGAUUAUAAAUGUAAGCCAAUCGCCAGAUCUAAGGCAAGACUUUCUAAACGAAAAGCAAGCCUCCUUGUACACAACCAAAAAUCUCUCAAAAUAUUUAAUAAGAUAUUCAGUUUUAUACUCAACUAUGGAAAAUCAAAGCUCAGAAUCAUCAAACCUACAAGAACAGGUGAUGAAUGGCGAAGAAGAAAGAAUUGAAGAUGGUGGUGAAAAAGAAAUUGAUGGCGAUAAUGGUGGUGUAUGGUGAAGAAGAAGAAGAGAGAAAAAGAAUUGAAUGUGAUAUGGCGAUGGUGGCGAGCAAAGAAAUAAUGGUUAUUGUUAUUUCUUAUUUUGAUGAUGUGUAGCUGACAACAAGGGACCAGGUCCCUAGGUCUUCAUGAAUCCAGUAGAGCUGUCACUAUCUGGCGCAGUUUUGUCUUCUAGUGUAACAAACUGAGCAGGUGAGCUUGUACCUUUGAGGACACCUGACCCAAUCAGAUUUAUACCCUAAUCAUUAUUCCACUAUAAAAGGAAAAGAAUAUUUCUCAAUUGGUGAGUUUUUGCAAGAUCAAAAUAUAAAAGUGAGAUAGAGGCGAAAACUCAAGUUUGCAACAUCGCUCAAGCUUUUGAUUUAUGUAUAAAUUGAAAGAGAGAGUUCUUGAGUAAAGUCUUGAGUCUGUAAUCGAAUUACUCAUGUUAUAAGAGUAAUAUUUUUUCCUUGUAUUCUUGAGAGUGCUUAGGUAGAGUUGCUUGAGUUUAAUAUUGGUUAGAAUUAAUCAGUAUUGAGUUGUGUUCUUGACAAAGUUGUUAAGAUUGUUUUGUAAUAGAGUUAUUGCAAGUAGGUGGAGCCUAGAUUUAUGUUCAAAUAGAGUCUGUAAUCAAGAGUUUGAUUAUAGUGAAUUAUUGAGUACUUGCGAGGGCAAGCCAUGGUUUUUCUCCUCUUGAGCAAUGAGGUUUCCAUGCUAAAUA